This 253-nucleotide ribosomal RNA is filed under the name uncultured bacterium. Its description in RNAcentral is "partial 16S ribosomal RNA". It matches the Rfam family "Bacterial small subunit ribosomal RNA", at positions 524 to 776 of the family's 1533-position model. The record is from RNAcentral.
UACGGAGGGGGCAAGCGUUGUUCGGAAUUACUGGGCGUAAAGGGCGCGUAGGCGGGCGACUAAGUCAGAGGUGAAAGGCCUGGGCUCAACCUGGGAACUGCCUUUGAAACUAGUUGUCUAGAGUCCGGAAGAGGAUGGCGGAAUUCGCAGUGUAGAGGUGAAAUUCGUAGAUAUUGGGAAGAACACCAGUGGCGAAGGCAGCCAUCUGAUCCGGUACUGACGCUGAGGCGCGAAAGCGUGGGGAGCAAACAGG